Molecule: ribosomal RNA, 28 nt
Filed under: Solanum lycopersicum (tomato)
Lineage: Eukaryota; Viridiplantae; Streptophyta; Magnoliopsida; Solanales; Solanaceae
Description: partial 18S ribosomal RNA
Source: RNAcentral
CGGUACGUCAACAUGCGCAACGAUCAUU